This 500-nucleotide ribosomal RNA is filed under the name uncultured Glomeromycotina. RNAcentral describes it as "partial small subunit ribosomal RNA". It matches the Rfam family "Eukaryotic small subunit ribosomal RNA", at positions 591 to 1092 of the family's 1831-position model. The record is from RNAcentral. Lineage: Eukaryota; Fungi; Glomeromycota.
CCAAUAGCGUAUAUUAAAGUUGUUGCAGUUAAAAAGCUCGUAGUUGAAUUUCGGGGCCAGUAAGUUGGUCGUGCCACUGGUAUGUACUGGCUUUACUGGUCUCUCCUUCUUGAAGAACCGUGAUGUCAUUAAUUUGGUGUUGCGGGGAAACAGGACUGUUACUUUGAAAAAAUUAGAGUGCUUAAAGCAGGCUUACGCUUGAAUACAUUAGCAUGGAAUAACGAAAUAGGACGCUCGAUUCUAUUUUGUUGGUUUCUAGGAUCGACGUAAUGAUUAAUAGGGAUAGUUGGGGGCAUUAGUAUUCAAUUGUCAGAGGUGAAAUUCUUGGAUUUAUUGAAGACUAACUACUGCGAAAGCAUUUGCCAAGGAUGUUUUCAUUAAUCAAGAACGAAAGUUAGGGGAUCGAAGACGAUCAGAUACCGUCGUAGUCUUAACCAUAAACUAUGCCGACUAGGGAUCGGAUGAAGUUAAUUUUUUAAUGACUCAUUCGGCGCCUUACG